RNAcentral lists this ribosomal RNA (755 nucleotides) under uncultured bacterium. Its description in RNAcentral is "bacterial SSU rRNA". It matches the Rfam family "Bacterial small subunit ribosomal RNA", at positions 8 to 752 of the family's 1533-position model. The record is from RNAcentral.
AGAGUUUGAUCCUGGCUCAGAUUGAACGCUGGCGGCAGGCCUAACACAUGCAAGUCGAACGGUAGCACAGAGGAGCUUGCUCCUUGGGUGACGAGUGGCGGACGGGUGAGUAAUGUCUGGGAAACUGCCCGAUGGAGGGGGAUAACUACUGGAAACGGUAGCUAAUACCGCAUAAUGUCGCAAGACCAAAGAGGGGGACCUUCGGGCCUCUUGCCAUCGGAUGUGCCCAGAUGGGAUUAGCUAGUAGGUGGGGUAACGGCUCACCUAGGCGACGAUCCCUAGCUGGUCUGAGAGGAUGACCAGCCACACUGGAACUGAGACACGGUCCAGACUCCUACGGGAGGCAGCAGUGGGGAAUAUUGCACAAUGGGCGCAAGCCUGAUGCAGCCAUGCCGCGUGUAUGAAGAAGGCCUUCGGGUUGUAAAGUACUUUCAGCGGGGAGGAAGGCGAUACGGUUAAUAACCGUGUCGAUUGACGUUACCCGCAGAAGAAGCACCGGCUAACUCCGUGCCAGCAGCCGCGGUAAUACGGAGGGUGCAAGCGUUAAUCGGAAUUACUGGGCGUAAAGCGCACGCAGGCGGUUGGAUAAGUUAGAUGUGAAAGCCCCGGGCUCAACCUGGGAAUUGCAUUUAAAACUGUCCAGCUAGAGUCUUGUAGAGGGGGGUAGAAUUCCAGGUGUAGCGGUGAAAUGCGUAGAGAUCUGGAGGAAUACCGGUGGCGAAGGCGGCCCCCUGGACAAAGACUGACGCUCAGGU